Molecule: long non-coding RNA, 1017 nt
Organism: Oncorhynchus masou masou (cherry salmon)
Lineage: Eukaryota; Metazoa; Chordata; Actinopteri; Salmoniformes; Salmonidae
Exons: 3
Source: RefSeq, a predicted model, not a curated record
CCCCGGUGGUCUGGGGAUUGAAGCCUUCUCAGGGGAUGAGGAGAGACGUUUAAAUGUGGCCAACAUGAUGGUCGAGAAACGUCUGGCUGACGUCGAGCCCCAGCUGUGACACUUCGAUCUGAACCCGUCCAGUAAGGGACAGAAGGAGAGCAAGGUGAUUACUCCGAUUGAAUCGAAAGCCAGCUCCAAAGACCAUUGAGUCUGAAUACUCCUGUGUCAACUAACCUGCUGACAACACCACCUGAGACUCCUGGGCCAACUAACCUGCUGACAACACCACCUGAGACUCCUGGGCCAACUAACCUGCUGACAACACCACCUGAGACUCCUGGGCCAACUAACCUGCUGACAACACCACCUGAGACUCCUGGGCCAACUAACCUGCUGACAACACCACCUGAGACUCCUGGGUCAACUAACCUGCUGACAACACCACCUGAGACUCCUGGGUCAACUAACCUGCUGACAACACCACCUGAGACUCCUGGGUCAACUAACCUGCUGACAACACCACCUGAGACUCCUGGGUCAACUAACCUGCUGACAACACCACCUGAGACUCCUGGGUCAACUAACCUGCUGACAACACCACCUGAGACUCCUGGGCCAACUAACCUGCUGACAACACCACCUGAGACUCCUGGGCCAACUAACCUGCUGACAACACCACCUGAGACUCCUGGGUCAACUAACCUGCUGACAACACCACCUGAGACUCCUGGGUCAACUAACCUGCUGACAACACCACCUGAGACUCCUGGGUCAACUAACCUGCUGACAACACCACCUGAGACUCCUGGGUCAACUCCACUGAGCACGACCUCUAUACACUGAGAAAUGAAUGAGGUACCAGCUGACCUCCAGUCAGGAGAUGUGGUCAAGCUGAAGAAGAGCAGAGCCAAUCGUUUCCUCCGUAGACUUCUGUGCUGCUGCAUUUAGUACAAGAUAUCGUGAACCUGACCUUCUCUUCACCUGCUUUUCACAUGCCCUGCUCCACCUAGGGGCAUGCCAGUUACU